UGGGGGACAACAUUCCGAAAGGAAUGCUAAUACCGCAUACGUCCUACGGGAGAAAGCAGGGGAUCUUCGGACCUUGCGCUAAAUGAUGAGCCUAAGUCGGAUUAGCUAGUUGGUGGGGUAAAGGCCUACCAAGGCGACGAUCUGUAGCGGGUCUGAGAGGAUGAUCCGCCACACUGGGACUGAGACACGGCCCAGACUCCUACGGGAGGCAGCAGUGGGGAAUAUUGGACAAUGGGCGCAAGCCUGAUCCAGCCAUGCCGCGUGUGUGAAGAAGGCCUUUUGGUUGUAAAGCACUUUAAGCGAGGAGGAGGCUCUCUUAGUUAAUACCUAAGAUGAGUGGACGUUACUCGCAGAAUAAGCACCGGCUAACUCUGUGCCAGCAGCCGCGGUAAUACAGAGGGUGCGAGCGUUAAUCGGAUUUACUGGGCGUAAAGCGUGCGUAGGCGGCUUUUUAAGUCGGAUGUGAAAUCCCCGAGCUUAACUUGGGAAUUGCAUUCGAUACUGGGAAGCUAGAGUAUGGGAGAGGAUGGUAGAAUUCCAGGUGUAGCGGUGAAAUGCGUAGAGAUCUGGAGGAAUACCGAUGGCGAAGGCAGCCAUCUGGCCUAAUACUGACGCUGAGGUACGAAAGCAUGGGGAGCAAACAGGAUUAGA
Molecule: ribosomal RNA, 651 nt
Filed under: Acinetobacter sp. JA49+2
Lineage: Bacteria; Pseudomonadati; Pseudomonadota; Gammaproteobacteria; Moraxellales; Moraxellaceae
Description: bacterial SSU rRNA
Rfam family: Bacterial small subunit ribosomal RNA
Source: RNAcentral